This 572-nucleotide ribosomal RNA is filed under the name Colletotrichum gloeosporioides. RNAcentral describes it as "eukaryotic LSU rRNA". The stretch from base 202 to 355 matches the Rfam family "5.8S ribosomal RNA". The record is from RNAcentral. Lineage: Eukaryota; Fungi; Ascomycota; Sordariomycetes; Glomerellales; Glomerellaceae.
CCGUAGGUGAACCUGCGGAGGGAUCAUUACUGAGUAUACGCUGUACAACCCUUUGUGAACAUACCUAUAACUGUUGCUUCGGCGGGUAGGGUCUCCGCGACCCUCCCGGCCUCCCGCCUCCGGGCGGGUCGGCGCCCGCCGGAGGAUAACCAAACUCUGAUUUAACGACGUUUCUUCUGAGUGGUACAAGCAAAUAAUCAAAACUUUUAACAACGGAUCUUUUGGUUCUGGCAUCGAUGAAGAACGCAGCGAAAUGCGAUAAGUAAUGUGAAUUGCAGAAUUCAGUGAAUCAUCGAAUCUUUGAACGCACAUUGCGCCCGCCAGCAUUCUGGCGGGCAUGCCUGUUCGAGCGUCAUUUCAACCCUCAAGCUCUGCUUGGUGUUGGGGCCCUACAGCCGAUGUAGGCCCUCAAAGGUAGUGGCGGACCCUCCCGGAGCCUCCUUUGCGUAGUAACUUUACGUCUCGCACUGGGAUCCGGAGGGACUCUUGCCGUAAAACCCCCCAAUUUUCCAAAGGUUGACCUCGGAUCAGGUAUGAAUACCCGCUGAACUUAAGCAUAUCAAUAAGCGGAG